AAAGAAAGAAAGAAAAAGAAAAAAAAAUCCAAUCCCUGAAAUUUUACAUAGAAAGGUGGACACCUACUCUAAGUAAAAUGGAGUCCAAAUUUGAUGAGGUCAUGAAAGAAGUGCAGAUGAACUAUUGUGGGCUUCCAAAGAAGGGAGAAGCCCUGGGAAGCCUCAGAAAAGUCUAAAUGAAAGAGAUAACAGUAAAGGAAGGCUUUAGAGGGGCUUCAGUGCCCAUUGCUGGGGAUGUCAUUCCUAUAAGAGUCUAUUGAGUGGUGCUUCCUCCAGGGCACAUGAAAUGAAGCAUGAGUAGCGCCCACCUGGAGUGGUAAAACAAAGUGGCCCUGUAAACAAGGGUCUGUCAGCAGAGACAGUAUCAGCUGGUAGAGGUGAGGGAAGUUGGGCAGGGUGGGCAGCAACCCAUGUCGUGGUUAGAGGGGAUUCUGUGAACCUCAGCGCUGGCUGCUGUAUACAGAUGCGCCCAUGUCUCUCCAAAUUCUUAACUAAACUCCCAUGGUCUGCAUCCUCCCUGAAUUGAUAUGGUGCUGGAGAACCACAGAGAGGACAGCAGGUGGGGACCAGCCCUUGUGGAGCCCCUGUCUUUGUACCCAGGAUCGG
RNAcentral lists this long non-coding RNA (606 nucleotides) under Marmota monax (woodchuck). The record is from RNAcentral. Lineage: Eukaryota; Metazoa; Chordata; Mammalia; Rodentia; Sciuridae.